Molecule: ribosomal RNA, 496 nt
Filed under: uncultured bacterium
Lineage: Bacteria
Description: partial 16S ribosomal RNA
Rfam family: Bacterial small subunit ribosomal RNA
Source: RNAcentral
GAUGAACGCUGGCGGCGUGCCUAAUACAUGCAAGUCGAGCGAACAGACGAGGAGCUUGCUCCUUCGACGUUAGCGGCGGACGGGUGAGUAACACGUAGGUAACCUACCUAUAAGACUGGGAUAACUUCGGGAAACCGGAGCUAAUACCGGAUAAUAUUUCGAACCGCAUGGUUCGAUAGUGAAAGAUGGCUUUGCUAUCACUUAUAGAUGGACCUGCGCCGUAUUAGCUAGUUGGUAAGGUAACGGCUUACCAAGGCAACGAUACGUAGCCGACCUGAGAGGGGGAUCGGCCACAUGGGAACGGGAACACGGCCCAGACCCCUAGGGGGGGCAGCAGUAGGGAAUUUUCCGGAAUGGGCGAAAGCCUGACGGAGCAACGCCGGGUGAGUGAAGAAGGUUUUCGGAUCGUAAAACUCUGUUAUUAGGGAAGAACAAACGUGUAAGUAACGGUGCCCGUCUUGACGGUACCUAAACAAAAAGCCACGGCUAACUACGU